Molecule: unclassified non-coding RNA, 682 nt
Filed under: Hevea brasiliensis (rubber tree)
Lineage: Eukaryota; Viridiplantae; Streptophyta; Magnoliopsida; Malpighiales; Euphorbiaceae
Source: RNAcentral
GUGCCAACUUUGUAUGGCUUGUGCGAAUUUUGAUGAUUAUUUGCUAUCCAAUAGCUUAUCCAAUUGGGAAGAUUCUGGACUGGGUUCUGGGGCAUAAUGAAGCAUUAUUUAGGCGAGCUCAGUUAAAAGCUCUUGUUUCCAUCCACGGUCAGGAGGCUGGCAAGGGAGGUGAGCUCACGCAUGAUGAGACAACAAUUAUUAGCGGAGCACUGGAUUUAACUGAAAAGACUGCUGAAGAGGCUAUGACGCCUAUUGAAUCCACUUUCUCAUUAGAUGUCAACUCCAAGUUGGAUUGGGAAGCAAUGGGCAAAAGAGGGCAUAGCCGAGUUCCUGUGUAUUCUGGGAAUCCAAAAAAUAUUAUAGGACUUCUUCUGGUGAAAAGCCUUCUCACUGUACGACCUGAGACAGAGACCCCAGUCAGUGCUGUUUCAAUUCGGAGAAUUCCACGGGUUCCAUCUGAUAUGCCUCUGUAUGACAUACUGAAUGAAUUUCAAAAGGGUAGCAGUCAUAUGGCAGCUGUCGUGAAGUCUAAAACAAAAACCAAGGUUCCUAUGCUAACUGGAGAAAAAAUUGAAGAAAAAGGAGCUUCUGGGGAUUCCCUAUUGACAACUCCACUGCUAGCCAAGCAAGAUGAGAAAUCAGAUAGUGUUGUUGUUGAUAUCAAUAGGGUUUCAAGGCCAUC